UCUUGCAAAAUGAAGCUACGUCUGAAUAUGGAUGGGCUUGCCACUGGACAGGAUUUAGCCUUACUUAUAGCCAAUUACAUGGAUUGAGCGUUCCCAAAUCUGUCCCUUUACAAACAAUAUCUCACAAUUUCUGUGAGUGGCGCACAGGCAGAACACCAGUCGCCUUAAACUAUUAAACAUGUUUUCAUGCCAACAUGGGCGAGAAUCGCAUGGCAACAUGCGCUACAGUUGACCGAAGAAGAGCUGCAAACAUUGAUAUGGAUAAGGUGAUCAACAAGUUUGUCGGAAUGAAAUGUCAACGUUUUGAUGUCUCAGAGUUACAGGCCUAUAGCAUGGGCCUCCACGGUGGUCGUGUGGUUUAGCUCCUGCUCUUCUAGAAGCCCCUUCGCCUGGUCUUUCUGCAUUUGCAUCUGAUCGCACUCCUGCUGCAACUGCUGGAUACAUGCCUGCAGCUUAGGCAGCUCAAGAUCCUUCUCGUUCAGGUCUUCAAGGCACCUGGGAAAAAACAUCAGAAGCUGCUGUGCCUGGUCUUUCUGCAUCUGCAUCUGAUCGCACU
Molecule: long non-coding RNA, 556 nt
Organism: Clupea harengus (Atlantic herring)
Lineage: Eukaryota; Metazoa; Chordata; Actinopteri; Clupeiformes; Clupeidae
Source: Ensembl